Long non-coding RNA from Pangasianodon hypophthalmus (striped catfish), 7191 nucleotides. RefSeq lists it as uncharacterized. The transcript is spliced from 5 exons. The record is from RefSeq and is a predicted model, not a curated record. NCBI's taxonomy places the organism in Eukaryota, Metazoa, Chordata, Actinopteri, Siluriformes, Pangasiidae.
UUUAAAAAGAGGUGAUAAAGUUAUGGCUUGAACUUUAACAGAGUAAGCAGGUUUGAUUUCUCAGAAUCUGAGAAUCUGAGAAGGGAGUGUGAUUAAUGGAUCAGCCAAAGCACACCUCAUCACACGCGGGACGUAACAUGAGGAGCGAUAAGUCAUCGGAAUGAGUUUAUUCUGUAAACAAAAUGAGAGACGAGCUUCGAAGCACACACAAUUAUCCGUGAAGUUUAUUCAAAUUAAAUCAUACGGAUAAGCAGAAGGAUUUCUAAGAAAUGCAAACCAGGCCAUGUGUUUGCCCAGAAUGAUUCAGCAAAAUAUUAAAUGAACAAUUUUCCUCUUACCUCAAAUAUAAUCAAUCAGCCAGGACAUGCUUUUUUUUUUUUUUUUUUUUUUUUUUAAUUAAUUUUCAAUAGAAUUUAAUGACACCCAAAAUCUACAAACAUAAACAAACCUUAAACUGUGUAGCAGAACAUGUAGCAUUAUGGAGGCGGCCAUCUUGGAAUCACUAUUUACUAAAGGAUAAGUGGUGAAACCUCUAAAAGGUCAAAGUUUGUGAAACCUUCCGGAGCAGAACAGACUCAUUAAAGUGGAGGACGUUGAUAACAACAGAACGACGUCACAAAUGAUCUGUCGGAAAGUAAGAAAAACGUUAGAGGAGGAAAGAGAGAUAAAGAUAAUGAACAGAAGUGGAGGAUAAAGAGAGGACGAUUUCUGAUGAGGUCAUCUGGGUGCAGCACUGAGAGGACAGAUGGAGAGAUGAAGAAAAAGAGAAAAUAUGUACAGGAGAAGUCAAGGGAGCUGGACUACCGAGCUUUGCUAUGACAUCACUUGGAGCAGCCGUAUCAAGUGUUAUUGCGUCAUGUUGACAACAGAGAGUGAGAAGGGCUUCAGAGGGGAGAAUGUCCAUUAACAUCCCCUGAGACGUCCCUGACAUGGGAGCUCUCCGGAGGUUCGGCGUUCUGAGACCACAUACGACUGAACGAUAGGAGUACAAAGUCAAGUCUCCUCAUCUCUCCUCAACUCCUCAAAUUGCAGUUACGGCACUUCAUGCGACAGUCGACGGCUUUGAGAGAUUGCAUUGUGGAAAAUCAAAAAGAGAAGACGUAGGAGAGUCCCCAUUGGCCAAUAACCACCUAGAGACAACGAGAAGAACUACGAGAAGAACAUUAUCAGGUAUGCUUCCAUAUCAACCUGUUUCCGUAUAUGUUUCCAUAUCAACCUUGGAGUGUAAGUGGUGAGUAAUUUUAUCUAAUUUUCUCUGUAAUUAUUGGUUAUAAUCCAUGUCACAUGGCCUGUCCUUAUUCAAAACUAGAUGAAAGCUAAUAAGGCCAAAACACUGCAAAGACAAAAAAGCAUGCUAGCAACAAGCAAAUAGCAAUGCUGUGAAGAAACUAGCACGACUCAGAGGGAGUAAGUAGAGAGGGCAUGAGAUCGUAUAUUAGAAAAAGGCGAAACAAACCAGAAACAUGUGGAACUGACUAUCAGUGGGCAGAGCCAAUGAAGACCUGUUUCCUCAUCUGUCAAAAGGUAGACAUAUUUAGCUUAAUUUUGAAAAUUUGCAUGUCCAGUAUACAAUGUACAAUAGGUAUGGCUAAUCUAGACUCGUCCGAUGUACAUUGUGCUACAGUUAGCUAGCUACACUACAAGCUAUGAACUUUUGUGCACGUCAAAUUUCAACAUCGACAGUUUUACAUUUUAGUGCCAUUUAUUGUUCUCAUUACACCAUGAUAUAGUGUUUUUGAUUCUGUUACUAGUGUUUAAACUGGAGAUGGUCGUGGAAGAUUUGUAGUAUUCCCCAGAAAGUCUGGUACAGUUCAUGCCUAAAGGUGACCAAAAACCACCUACCUUUACAGAAACAAGCCAUAUGACAUUGCAGAUGACUAUAAUGUUCCCUUUAGCCUGUUGGCAAACAUGCAGAAUUAUCAUAUUUAUUUUCCUCGCUUUCAUGCAACACUCUGUAAAUUCAGUUAAUAUAUCUUGCUUUGAUAAGCUCACUAUGUCACAAUGGUCAAAUGUUUUCUUCCCCCUGGAAACUGGAGAAUGGAAGUGCAUAUUUUUUGUACUUGAGAUGCUCUGGGUGUCUAAUCUAACUUCCGAAAACUGUUCCAAAACCCGUUUUAACGCUGAGUGAACUGUCUGCCAACACGUGAGCAAAAACACACAGCAUGCCGACAAGACACACACCUGAUCGCAGCAGGGGUCACUGAGUCAGGGGCGCACAAACAUGGCCUUAAAUUUCAUCCUGAAGGACUUGUUGACGUCAGCAUCAGAGAGGAAAAGGUGGAGUGUAGAGCAAGUUACUACACAAUUCACUUGUGAUUUCCAUUAUGGCAGGAAAUAUUCUUUCAGGUUACAAAAAGAACUGAAGGCAUAAAGGAAACCCGGACAAAAGCUUGCACACGUGAUACAAUAGCACUGCGGGAAGCAGCAGCGCCUCAUUCUGACUCUCGGUGCACAUUCUACGACGAUAACAGAAAGACAGGAAAAUAUGACAAACUUCCUUUAAUUACUGACCUGAUUCAAAAGCCGCUACACUUCAUUAAGCAGCCUGGCUAAAUCAGAUAUGGGCCUAAUCUGGGACUGAUCCGCUGAAAAAGCAGGUGGUUCUCUAAUGGUUAGAAAGUGCGUGGAACAAGUGACCUGCAAAUGAUUCUCGAUAAUAUCAUGAAAAGAAUUGGAAAUCCAUUGGACAACUUUGAAUCCCACUGAAACACCAUUAAGACCCAUUAUAUAGUGAUUUCAACACCUAAUGGAAAACUGGAACGGUCACCAUCACACUCCAUUACUUUAUUAUUUAAGAUCAAAGAGACUGUGACUGAUUCUAGACGCUUUUGAUACAUUUCCUACAUGAUUCAAAGCUAAAUAUUGUGAAAUCCCAUUGGAAAACCAUCAAGCACAUGGACACAUUACAUUUUUAAUAUCAGCACCAAAUAGAAACCAGGAAAUAACAUUACUAACCAUGGCAGAGCCACUAGGAAACAUAGAAAUUUUUCUGUUCCCUUAACACAAUGUAAAGAGUCCUAUAGAUUUAGAAGGUGACCUGUGAAUGAAGACAUGUUUGAUUGGUUUUCCAACAAGGGGUAAACAUUAAAAGUAAAUAUCCUGAAUCCCAUUGGACAAACCAGUGUCCCACUUUAAAUUCCAUUGAAAAAACAUCAGAUAUGUCUACGACUCAAUGCUAAAUACUGUGAAUCUCAUUGGAAAACCAUCAAACAUGUCUAGAUUCAAAGCUAAAUACCAUGAAUCCCACUGGGAACCCAUCAAACACAUCUAGAAUUAGUCACAGGUCACCUUUUAAACCGUUAGGACACACAUUUUAAUAUCAAAAGAAAACAGGGAAUAACAUUACUAACCAUUACAGAGCCACUAGGAACCAAGAGAAAUGUGUUCUGUUCUCAUAUCCCAGAGUAAUGUGUCCUAAAGUUUUAACAGAAGGCCUGUGAAUGAAAGACAUUUGAUGGGUUUCCAACAAGAUGCAAAAGUAAAUAUCCUGAAUCCCAUUGGAAAACUGUAAUGUCCCACUUUAUAUUCCACUGGGAAACCAUCAAAUACGUCUAGGAUUCAAAGCUAAAUACCAUGAAUUCCAUUGGGAAACCAUCAAAGACGUCUAGAAUUAGUCACAGGUCAACAAUUACACCAUUAGUACACAUUACAUUUAAUAUUAACACCAAAUAUAACACAGGAAAUAAAAUGACUAACUAUUUCAUAACCACUAGGAACCACUUUUCCAAUGUUCCCAUGUGUCCCACUUUGAAUUCCAUUAGAAAACUAUCAAAUUUGUCUAGGAUCAGCAAUUGUUAAACUUGCAUUAUCCAUUAUGUUGUUACACCAUAUAGAAAGAAGAACCACUAGGAAUUAGUAGUAACGUGUAAUGAAGUGCGGUGGUCUCUGAUGGUGUCCUUGCAGUAAUAGGUUGUGGUUUUAUAGUAAUAUCAUCAUAUACCACGGUUUUAUUAUCCGGUUAAGUCAAUUCCCAAUAAUAAAUGAAUAUUUCAAAACUAAACAUCAGCUUUUAAAAGGAGAGCUUUGCAUUUAGGGGAGAAACCCUGGUUCCCAAUCUGUACCAAAGAGCAAAUAUCACCUACAGCGCUGUAACAUCCGUAUAUGGAAAAGGUCAAACAGCUAACAUUAUGGCUCAGCAGGAGGUCAUCCACCGCCUUCCACCUUCCAGUCAUUGAACUUAUUGUACCGUUGGCUUAUGCGAUAGACCAUUAUGUUCACAACGUUGCUGUGGUGAAAAUUUCAAAUCCUUGUCAUGUUCCAUUCAGAAGCAGGCUAUCUAACGCCAUGUCACAUUGACAUUUAUAAACAAGAGCACAGAUAACCGCUAGCCCUGCUAACAACUUGCGACUAGCCAAGCUAACAGCUAGCCACACUUCACGAAAGCCAUAACAGAUACAUGAAGUACAAACAUAUUUUUGUAACAUAGAGGACAGUUGUCUUCAAAUGUUCUUUAUUUAGGGUGUUUUGCUCUGUUAGUGAUGGCAUACACACUAGUUGGACCAACCUAAAAAUGUUUUGUGUUAUUUGAGCCAAAAAUGCUAUUUUUAUGCCAUUUUAUCACAUUUUAACAUCAGUUUCAAAUCUGUGUUUAAAAUGUCCUCUUGUUGGGCUAUUUUUCAUACAUGUCUCUCCCUAUUCAAGUAUAUAAGAGUCUGGUCUUGUAGCUACCUUGCUAACAUACACUAAUCCAUACUAACAAGAUAUUUAAGAAAACCUCUGUGUAAAAAAACAAUCAAAAUCUCCUUCUGAGGGCUGGAUUCUCACUCUGAAACAUGUGUAUUAUUGAAACAGGAUGUAUUAUUGACUUAAUAUAUGGGCUACAAGACAUCACUGUAGCUCAUCAUUGAGGUACAGCUAAAUAUAUAGUAAUGAUAUUAAUAUUGUAAAUGAUGCCAAGAUGUCAGCCGAUUUUCUUGGCAUGGAAAUGAAAUGUUGGUACAUGCCUAGCGCAGUUCACUCUGCCAUGGAUAGCAAAUUAGGAGUGCGGUGUUCCUGCGUUUUGCUCUGUAAACACUUACACACCUGUUAGCAGUGACUCACACAUGGUGUCGUCUAGAAAUUAAGAUUUUUUUUUUUCCUCACAGAUGGUCAGUGUGUUGUAAAGCUAAAGCACUAAUCCAGAAUGGCACCAAUUAAACAAACAGUUACCAAAACCUUCAGUUAGCACCAACAGCGCAUUAGCAAUAACUGACUUAGCAUUUCCUGAGCACAGUACCUUAUAAUUAUAACAUUUUUUUUCUUUAGAACGUUAUCGUACAUAUAGAUUGGAGCAAGAGGCAUUUAUAUGGAUCAAUGAGAUUCUCUAAUCACGUCUUUGAAAGAUUUUGGAUAUAAACAAGCAUCUGUAAUUUUAACUGCAAAAUUCAGGUCAUAGCAUCAUAACCUUUGUUAGCAUAGAUCGCACAAUCAGUGCCAUAUUUUUCAGUAAAAAUAGGAACAAAUCUUCCAACAUCCAUGAAUAAAAAAUAAAAGGAAUAUGAGGGGGAAAGAAUAAAAUUAAUAUCAAAGAGUCCUGAGUCAUAUGUGCAAACAUUAUUGCUGGGCGAUAUGAUGAUAAAAAUAAUCAUACUUUGAUAAAUUACAAAAAUCACAACGCUCUAUUCUUAGACAAUUAUGGAUACAGUCAGUAAUUUUUCAACACUUUUUUAUACCACAAUGUCUCAUUACAUGUCAAAUAAGUUAUUUAUAUAGAUGUUGAUACGUCACUAUACUCCGAUUUCUUUUAAAUAUAGCACUAAUGUUUGGAUGCCAGUGUUUUCUAGGUCAGUGUGAAUGUGAAUAAAGCUUCACCUGGCUCUAGCACCAUACUGCUGUUGCAUUUAAUAACUUUCCAGUCACACGCCUGGUCCUGUGAUCACAUCGCUCAUCACUGUGCCCUCAAGCCCCGUUCUCCUCCUGCACACACAGAGCCCGCCAGCCCGAGACCCAAAAAAACACAGGCUUAUUUUUUAUCACAGUGCAGAGUAAUAAAACGAAGUGAAUGGAAUGAGUUUGACACAAAACACGCACGUUAUCGUUAUGACAUUUAAUGCUUUGUGUAUUCAAGCUAAACCUUCCUGAUCUGUUGUGCCCCAAUUAUGAGCACACAGUCGCCACCAGUAUUAAAAGAACAAACUAAGAGUGUGUAAUGAACAGGGACACACAGAUGAUGCAAAAACAAUUAAUUAGGGGAUGACGGUCAAGCCGGCGCGAUGGGAGAAGCCAGAUUGGAGCUGGAACGCACAGGAAGAGGCCAAACAAAACAAAGAAGAGCUUCAGAAAACAAUCUGAUAUUAUAUCUGUGCAAAUAUGGUGGGAAUGUUGGCGGGCUGAGACGGCUAAUCUACAGCAGGAUAACUGAGGCGUAUGUCUCGGAUCAUUAAGAGCAAUGUUUAUUACCUCACACGAUUCCUAUGAAGUUAUUAUAGAUGGAGUGAUUUAUCGUAAUUCAUAGUUUCUGCAUUCUAAAAACCUGAAAGGAAAUCCCCCAAUUAUGACAAUUAUUCUCAUAAAUUAUGGCUGAACUGUAUGUAAAAUGCAAAGAAGGGAUUUUGAAACAAGUAAUGUGUGUUCAAGUCUUUCCAUGAUGUGUGUUUGACCAGCGUUAGUGACGUCAGCCCGUUGCUCCACUUUACAGUAUUCAUCGUAACAGUAUGUAAGAAAACACACAAUCGUUUUCUUUCUUUGUCUUUUUAUACUUAGAAACGCAAGGAUAUUUUUAAAGGAAAUAUAGCAUGGUGGUCAGAGUCUCAAAAUAGGUCUCAUUUAUUCUAUUGGAUACAAAUUGCUUAAGAAAAAACGUUCAUAUCGUAGGCGUCACACCUGAGUUUGUGUAAAUUUACAUAUAAGGAGACUCACUAAUGUGCACCUCGAUUGGUCAGAGAUUCAAAAUGUAAAAUUGGCGAUGCGUUACUGGGAUUUUUAUGUACAGAUUACGUAUGUGAAGUAGCUGGAAGAAGGAGGAAGCGUUAAUGUAGCCGACACACUGCAAUGGCUGAACUGUAUUAUUGGAAGAUAUAGCACACACAGAAGAAAAUGGUGUAUGUGUGGAUCUUGCUUUUUGUACACUGUGUUCCUAGCUAGCUAGUCACAAUCCUUGUAGUCCUGUAUGCUAACUUCAAGGCAAGCUUUUACGUUUGAUCGACUGUAAAAAUAGCAGGCUGUAAUUUAUUUGCCAAAAAAAGACUAGAUUAUUUAUAUCCAGUUAACAAA